UUAAAGUUUGAAAACAUAGGU
Molecule: non-coding RNA, 21 nt
Filed under: Caenorhabditis elegans
Lineage: Eukaryota; Metazoa; Nematoda; Chromadorea; Rhabditida; Rhabditidae
Source: RNAcentral